Brassica napus (rape) is the source of this 3487-nucleotide long non-coding RNA. RefSeq lists it as uncharacterized. Lineage: Eukaryota; Viridiplantae; Streptophyta; Magnoliopsida; Brassicales; Brassicaceae. The record is from RefSeq and is a predicted model, not a curated record. The transcript has 3 exons.
UGCCCUAACCACUACCGAGUGAUAACUGAAAAUAAUUACGCAAGAUAAAUAUUUGUAACAAUGAUCUAUAUCAUUUUAUUUAGCAUAGAUAAAAAAAAUAGAAGCAGUACAAAUUGAACAUUUACGUUCUAUAUAAAUAAUCUUAUUAAAAUAAAAGAAAUGAUUCAUAUUACUUCAAAAUUUAAAGUGACAUUCAUAUAUUUUUUAGCAAAUAAAAAGACAUUCAAAUAAUUUUGAGAAUAUGGUUCAACAUCUGGCCUCGGGCCUUCAGAGAUGCAGCCUAUAUUAUAUAAAUGUAUAUAUAUGUGCUAUGUCGACUAUAGGUAAUUAGGUAUAUAAUAAGAAAAUAAUUGAUCGUAACAAAAGAUAUAGGUAAAUACCAAAGAAUAAAUGAAACUGAUAUAUGUAACUUAGAAAUGGAAUGUGGAAAUGAACUUAUCGGCAUUAAUUAAAGAGAGAAUAAGUAAAAGAUUGAGCAGAAAGACGUCAUUGCUUACCCUAAUCUCUCAAUCUUUGUCCAAUACGUCUACAAUAACGUAGCCUUUUCUAAAUUUUAUACUAUAAACACACUUUCUUUAUUUUACUUUCUUUGUUCCGACUCCGACUUAUUGUUUUUUUUUUCAGCUUUACAACAAAUCACUGAGUGAGAUUCAGACCAUCACCGAGAACAAAAAUUAGACAUGAUCAGAUCCCGCUGACUCAUCAUCAUCAUCAUAAAUAAAUUAAUCAAUAUAUCAUCACCAUCAUCAAUUCAUCAUUAAUGUAAUAAGAAUCUUUAUUCAAAAUAAUUAAACGUAAAGACAAACUACAUGUUUAAGAUGAAUGUUUUUCAGGAGAAGAGAAGAAAGCGUCGUAAAGAGUUCAGAGUUAGUAGUGAAGAAAAUAUGGAGAAGAUAAUGCACAGAGAAGUUGAGAAACAAAGGAGACAAGAAAUGACUUCUCUUUACGUGUCUUCUCGGUCUUCACUCUAUUGAGUUCAUCCAGGGAAAGCGUUCUACGUCAGAUCAGUUGAACGAGGAGGUGAAUUACAUAAAGUAUCUUCAGAGGGGGAGUAUAAAUGCACACGGUCAGAUAACUGGAUUUAAUUGACUUCGCCGAUUCAAGAAUACACUUCCAUGCUUACCCUAAUGAACUAAUUGUUUCCUUAACUUCUCAAACCCAAAACGAUGCAUAUACAUAGACUGUUACCUUGCACUUGUACUGUAAAUUUGUAUAUUUAUGUGUUUGCUGAUUUUGAAAAGAAAUUGUGUGCUUCCCUAUUUUUAAAGAAUUUACGAGAACAAAUAUAUUUUGUUGAAAAAAAGAUUUAUUGGAAUCACCAUAUUUCGGCAUUUUAAUCUUGGAUUUUUGACGAAAUAAUGUUAUACUUCGCAGUCACAAAGAAAGACCAUCUUUUUCUAUCUUCAAAUUUUUUGAGAAAGAGUCUGAGACGGAUCAGAAUGCACUUAAAAGUUCAAGAUCUUCAAGAUAUUAGUUAAUUAUAAAACUCAGAGUUUAUGUUAGUACGAGUAUUUUCUAAAGACAUCCCGGCAUAGUAAUUCCUUUUUUGGGGUAAAAUAUCUGAGGUCAAUUCCGAAGUUUAAGAGGAUAGUUUUACAAAAUUGUCUCGUUUUAAUAAAUCCAGCUUGCUUUAUCUAAGAACCCGUUCCACUUAACAUAUAUAACCCGCUGUAUGCAAUACAUGUUAAAUGAACGGGUUAUUCCAUGUUGAAAUUCCUAAACAUAUAUACUUAAUUUUAUAAAUAUUGUUUUCGCCAUUAACUGCAGAUAUACUGCCCAACAUAAAAUAUACAAGACAUAUCAUCCUGUAUCGGUCUAUCCAUUAGUGUACCAGUCUUGUCGACCAUUUUCUUGGUCAUUAGCUUCAAUUAUAUGAGGUGUUUCAAAAAACAAAACAAAAUAGAUCAUCCUCUAUGGCUCUAUCCAUUAUACAAACUUAUUGUUAUCACGUGAAGGUAUAUCUACCAACUCAUCCUGUAUUUGAUAUUACACCUCAUUUUCUCUCCCCCACCCUUAUCUCUUGUAAUUAAAGUUCAAAACCACUUCAUCUCCACGUGUGGAGCCUCCAUUCCAUAUAUAUGGUUCUUUUAUUUAUAAUUUUUUUUUCUGAAUUGCAUGUCCUUAAGUAGCAUAAAAUAUGGUAUAUGAAGAAAAAUUGUUUCCAAACUAUUUUUCUCAUGGAGUUCAACGUGUGCCAUGACUCCCAGAUUUGCUAGCCCAGUUGAGCCAGUGACUGGUCCAUAUGUUUUGUUGUCGUUAGUUACGAGCACUGUCAUUCAAUGUAUCAAUACAUUUUGGUAAUAACGUCAAUUUUUUGGCGAUUAAAAUCAUGAACGUUUUGUCGUGUUAGCUUGGCAUAUAUUUCAGCAACGAAUCGUUAAACUUAAACGCUUUCUGUGUGUUUGUUGAAUUCAGAAAACAAAAAGAGGUUACAGUUAAGUAGAGAAAGAAAAACAAGCAAGUGAACAUAAAACGCUUUCUGUUGUCCCGCCGAGUUGGUAGCGCGUGUUGUGUCGUUUAGCUCCUCGUUGGCUCGAUUUACCUCCGGGGUGGCUCCUGGUGGUGGCUUCAGCUGCGUGUGGAGUUGGGGGUCUAGGGUUUGCCGGAACUUGGAAACUCGAGUGGUGUUGAGGCACUGGUUCUUGGUAACUCCAGAUCUCUCUUCUGAAUCUGUGAGCCACCGUCGUGUUCUCAGGUGGUGGCUGCGCGUGGGUUUCGUCGAGGAUGGAGACGUCCGUCCGGUUUCCCUGUGGCGUCGCGUAGUGUGUGGUUUCACAUGGUGUGCUUCGUGGUUUAGCUCCCGUGUGCUUCUUCAUCGCUCAGAACUCAGUGGUGAUGACGUUUGUGGCCUUCUCCGUUGCUAGCUUUUCUCAAAUAAUCUCAGCAGGUUCGUGUUCGUGGCUUGGCAACAACUUCUGGCUCGACUGUGUUUUUGCUGGUGUGAUAGUAAGUCAGCGGGGGCUCGAGCGUGGCUUCGGUUUAGUUGCCUCCGGAGGAGCUGUCCGUCUACCGACCCAUAUUCUCUUCGGGUUGUGGUUAAAUGAGUGUAUACUGUCCCCGAGAAAUGCAAUGGAGGCGGUAAUCUCCGGCGUAAACCUCGGAACGACGGCACUGUUGGUCUUCGGCUUUUCCUCGUACCGCCGGUGGUCUCUUUUAUCUUGCUUGCUCUGUGUCCGUGGUUGGAUUCUGCGCUCUGCUUCGCUCUGGGUUAUCGGCUAGAAGCUGUAGGUAACUGUUGCAUUCAGGGUUUGAGGGCGCCCUUCUCUCAGUGCUCGUGGCAACCGGCCGGUCUUCUCAUCUAGUUUCAGGGUUGUUAGGUCUUACCUCGUCUCGCUAUUACUUUGUUUUAACCGGUUGUGCUGCGUUGUUAAUCAGUCCGAGCCUUUAUUUGCUGUCUUUAGUUUGUUUGUGUUGUUGUUUUUAUUUCCGCUACUAGUCAUCUAUUGUAUCGUCUGUCAAAAAUUGAAAAUUGGUAAUAAUAUUUUAA